Long non-coding RNA from Artibeus jamaicensis (Jamaican fruit-eating bat), 488 nucleotides. RefSeq lists it as uncharacterized. The record is from RefSeq and is a predicted model, not a curated record. Lineage: Eukaryota; Metazoa; Chordata; Mammalia; Chiroptera; Phyllostomidae. The transcript has 3 exons.
CUUCGUAUCCUGAGCACUCCGUAUCCUGAGCCAUAUCUGAAAGAAAAGCUAGGAAGCUGAGACACAAAAUAUACCUAAUACACUAAAAGGGUACUUGGAAGAAGGAGUUUUGUAUAUUUCGGAGAAUCAGAAAAGAAGCACUCCUGCCACGUUACUGUCAGAACUUACUGAUUGGAGCUGCAGUCAUCAGCUGAUGGGCCGGCGAGGGAGAAGCACCCAGACACAAAGGAACCCAUUGGAACAUGUAUUACUGAACCGGAAGACCGCCUGCCAACAGGACCUGACAGAGCAGAGGGUGGGGAGGAACUCUGGUGACCAUCUGAUCCACACCCUCUUUUUAUGGUUAACGAACCUCUGGCCCAAUCAAACAACCUGCUCCAUGUCACCAACCAACGUCAGUGUCAGCACAAAAGCCUGCCAGCCUCCUUUUCGCUGCCCCAUGCCACUGCUGCUGAAGCCACAUCACUGGACCCAAUACCUGCUUGUCG